AUUGAACGCUGGCGGCAUGCCUAACACAUGCAAGUCGAGCGGAUAAAGGGAGCUUGCUCCUGGAUUCAGCGGCGGACGGGUGAGUAAUGCCUAGGAAUCUGCCUGGUAGUGGGGGAUAACGUCCGUAAACGGGCGCUAAUACCGCAUCCGUCCUGAGGUAGAAAGUGGGGGAUCUUCGGACCUCACGCUAUCAGAUGAGCCUAGGUCGGAUUAGCUAGUUGGUGGGGUAAAGGCCUACCAAGGCGACGAUCCGUAACUGGUCUGAGAGGAUGAUCAGUCACACUGGAACUGAGACACGGUCCAGACUCCUACGGGAGGCAGCAGUGGGGAAUAUUGGACAAUGGGCGAAAGCCUGAUCCAGCAAUGCCGCGUGUGUGAAGAAGGUCUUCGGAUUGUAAAGCACUUUAAGUUGGGAGGAAGGGCAGUAAGUUAAUACCUUGCUGUUUUGACGUUACCAACAGAGUAAGCAACGGCUAACUUCGUG
This 484-nucleotide ribosomal RNA is filed under the name uncultured bacterium. RNAcentral's name for it is "partial 16S ribosomal RNA". It matches the Rfam family "Bacterial small subunit ribosomal RNA", at positions 30 to 507 of the family's 1533-position model. The record is from RNAcentral.